Molecule: ribosomal RNA, 454 nt
Filed under: Sceloporus caeruleus (blue ornate spiny lizard)
Lineage: Eukaryota; Metazoa; Chordata; Lepidosauria; Squamata; Phrynosomatidae
Description: partial 16S ribosomal RNA
Rfam family: Bacterial large subunit ribosomal RNA
Source: RNAcentral
UUUAACGGCCGCGGUAUCCUAACCGUGCAAAGGUAGCGUAAUCACUUGUCCCUUAAAUAGGGACCAGUAUGAACGGCUAAAUGAGGAUAAAUCUGUCUCCUUUAACAAAUCAGUGAAACUGAUCCACCAGUACAAAAGCUGGUAUACCCUCAUAAGACGAGAAGACCCUGUGGAGCUUUAAAUUUAACCCAAGCAACCAAGCACAAAUUUGCCUCAUGGCUAAAAAUUUUAAGUUGGGGCGACUUCGGAAAAAAACUAAACUUCCGAGCAUAAGACUAUGUCACACCAAGACCUACAGGUCGAAACUAAAAUUGACCCAGUAACACUGACAACCGAACCAAGUUACCCCAGGGAUAACAGCGCAAUCUUCUUCAAGAGUUCCUAUCGACAAGAAGGUUUACGACCUCGAUGUUGGAUCAGGACACCCAAAUGGUGCAACCGCUAUUAAAGGUUC